GUGGGCAUGGGUGUGUGUGUAUGUACAGGCAUUCAUGCAUAGGUCUGUGGGUGCAUGUGUGUAUGUAUGUAUUUGGGUGCGUGCAGGUGCACACACGUUCACACUACAUGGCUAAACAAUUCUAACCCUUAGGUAGAUGUUGGCAGAUAUCCAAGAGAAUGGAGAACAUUUGCCUCUAUAAAACCUUGUAUGCAAAUGUUCACAGUGACAUAUUUAUGACAGCCCCAACCAAAAACAAUCUGAGCAUCCACCAACUACUGAACAAGUGAGUAGAUGUGGUGUCCUCCUACAGCAGGAUGCUACAAGCAAGAGACAGCAAUACAUGCUGCGAUGUGAACAAAAAUGCUACUGUGAGCAAAAGAAGGCAGGCACGAAGGAUUGCAACAUGCAGAAAGGAGCAUUAUGGGGAGACAGAACUAUUUUAGCAUUAAUCGUGAUGAUAGGUGCCCCUCUGUAGGCUUAUUGUAGUCACUAAACUGUGUAUUUAUAAUGAUUAAACUUUAUGGUAUGUAAAUAUUUCCAUUCAGCUUUCAACAAGAAGCUAACAGCCAGUAGCUGGCCUCCCAGAGAUGCUUGGGUCCUUCAGCCUGAAGUAGCCCACCCUGUUUCUCUGCACGUGUUAAUGGUGCCUGUUUAUUUCCUUUAAUCUGUAAAUAUUUAACUUGUUUCCUUGUUUGCUUUUCUGUGAAGUGGGAUUGUGUAAGAGGAAGGUUCAAGUCCACCCUGGUCUCUGUUGUAUCCCAGUGUUUGGCACAUUAGAAUUCUUGAUAGACACUUGAGUAACACAAAGAAAUGAAUGAAAUAAAAGAAGGCGCAUGUUCAAUUUGUCAUUAAAAACUAAUGCGCUCUGAUACUAUGAUUACCCACGAGCAUCUUCAUUCUAAAUAGAGAUAUUUGUCUUCAGAGCAGCAAAAUCCUCAACCCGGUGCCCCGUGUCACGGUGGGACAGAGAUGAAAUGGAAAUGAGAUCGUUCUCUGCCACCUCAGAUUUAGGGACCCUGGGGGAAGGCGGUAGAGACUCAUGGAUCUGGGAGAGGACAGGAGCUACAGUUGCACAGUUAGCUGAUCUGCAGCCAGCACACCGGGAGCGUUGCCUAAGAACACAGUGUCACUGAGUCACUCUGCAAUGCGCCCAAACUAUGCAGUUCUCAAAAUGAAGCCAGGUCACCCGGCUCCCAGCUACUCCCAGAUGUUGAAAGUGAGAGGAGCUCUGCGGUUAGAGUAGGGUGCCCUGUCUUCGCCAGGCCCUUCUUACGUGACAACGAUUUAAUGUGGAAGGAGAGAGACUGGUAGUAGGGCAUGCGGUUGUCGAUGCUGUUUCUGCACUGAUACUGGCUUGGGAAAUUUAAGAUUUUAUAUCUAUUUAUUUACUUAAAAUUUUAUGUUUUGGAGGACUCAGACAUGGCAGUGUUAUCCAUGUCACUCUUGCCUCUCCCUCACACCUUAAAUUCCUCUUAUUCCCCUCUCAAACUCAUAGUCUGUUCGUGUGUGUGUGUGUGUGUGUGUGUGUGUGUGUGUGUGUGUGUGUGUGUCCAGGGCUAAACAUUGGGAUGAGACUAGGCAGGAAGCCUGUCCCAGGAGGACACCAAUUCUCCCUGCCUUAGCAGCUAUUGGCCACCUGUCAUUCUUCAUCUAGGGGUGGGACAUGUGGAAUUCUCCAGUCCACACUGACAUAUCAACCAUGAUGGUUUUUUCAGACAACCAUAUUGUUGCGAUUUCACGGGUGUGUUUUCCCUGCCGUGCUGAGGGGAAACCAGCAACAGGCAUCCUGAGCAACUGGCUGUGGGCGGUUUUGUUUUUUAAUCACAAAGCAUGUAAAUGUAGACUAAAUCUACAUUUAUAACUUUAAAAUGACUUAAUCAAUGUUUACAUUUGUGUUCAAGUUUCUAAGACGGUGAAUACUGACAGGAGUGAUCUUCACAGGCAAAAGCUUUUGGGGUUCUCCAUGCUCCCCCUUCUCCCUGAUCUCUGUCCUUCUUAGUCUGUCUAUUCUGUUGUCUAGGGACGGAGCCUCCUGUGUACACAGCAGAUGUUCUCCCCUUAGUUGGAUGGAGGAAGGCUUAUGAGGCCCCACGCUAUCACUUAGGAGACACAGGCAGCAAGGCCGCUAAGGCGGGGGUCAUCUUCCCCAGUCGUACAGCUAUUGGUAGGUUGCCUGUGUUUGACAAAAUGACCCAGACUCAUGCUCCUGUGAGUAGCAUCAAAUCAAUGCAGACAAAGAUGCACAAGCGCACACACAGUGAAGACCCAACAGGAUCUUCUUGGGAGCCAGCAGGGCGAGGGAAGACCAAGAGGAUGAUGGCAGAGAGUGAAAGUGAUCCUAGUAGACUGUAUAGAACACGACGCCGUGAAAUGAUAACGACAGAGAGAUCAAAGUAAGCUGGAGACGUAAAGCUAGGACGUCUGUCCACUGCUGUAGAGGGGACAGAGGGUGGGAUGUAGGGUGUUUUGUCGAUGGUACUGAGGAUGCUAUAGAAUAAACAAACAGCACUCGGGGUCACAGACACAUUCGGGGCAGCAAAUUGUAAGACCCAAGGAUGUCCAGGCCUCCCUGUGCGGCAGGCAUGAUCUCAGGCGCUGGUUGAGCUGCCUCCUGGCCCCGAGGAUCACAGUUGCACAGUGAGCUGUAGGAACAACUGCUCUGAGCAAAGCAGAUGGGAAGAACACUUGAUGACUGGACAGAGAGUGAUACUCCGCUGCUCCUGGGCCCCACUGCUAAGAUCCGGUUACAGUGAGAGCCGAGAGUGAGUGCUGUGUAGAUAUAGACCAAGACCUUGUGUGGGCGUCAGACUCUGAGUCUGGAAGGAAGCCUCGCAACUAGAGACAGUCAGAAGCUAGGACUGAACAAAUUGCAACCGUUCUCAGCCGCAGACGGUGAUGUUAACUAUCUCACGCAUGACAGGACAGAUCACAUAGCACAUUCGCCACCGGUGAAGAAGGCGCGGAGAGAUUCGGAAAGUCAUCCGGAGAUAUUUAAAACCCACGAAUAGAGCCGCGUGCACAAGGAAGACCGGCACGCUGUGGAACCGUUUCUGCCUUUAUCCUGUUUUAAUUACUCUGUUCAAAUUUGCCGCCUUUCCACUAGUUCUGACCAGCCUUUUGUUCCCAAUUUAUCUGGACUGGUGUGGUUUGCCUUGAUAACUCCCUAAGCUUGGGGCUGAAAUAGUCAACACGGCGAAAAUAAAAUGUUGAUCAUUAA
This 3199-nucleotide small RNA is filed under the name Rattus norvegicus (Norway rat). Its description in RNAcentral is "uncharacterized LOC102554304". Lineage: Eukaryota; Metazoa; Chordata; Mammalia; Rodentia; Muridae. The record is from RNAcentral.